UAAGUACUCCCUCCGUCCGAGAAUACUGUCAUCAAAAAUAAAAAAAGAAUGUAUCUAGAACUAAUAUACAUAUAGAUACAUCCCCUUUUAUUCAUUUUAAUGACAAGUAUUUUCGGACAGAGGGAGUACAAA
Non-coding RNA from Triticum aestivum (bread wheat), 132 nucleotides. The record is from Rfam. Lineage: Eukaryota; Viridiplantae; Streptophyta; Magnoliopsida; Poales; Poaceae.